UGAGGAGGUAAAAGGCCUAGCAGGGCGGUUACUUAAGUCUGAAUGUGAAAAGCCCCCCGGCUCAACCGGGGAGGGUUCAUUGGAAAACUGGGAAACUUGAGUGCAGAAGAGGAGAGUGGAAUUUCCACGUGUAGCGGUGAAAUGCGUAGAGAUGUGGAGGAACACCCAGUGGCGAAGGCGACUCUCUGGUCCUGUAACUGACGCUGAGGAGCGAAAGCGUGGGGAGCGAACAGGAUUAGAUACCCUGGUAGUCCCACGCCGUAAACGAUGAGUGCUAAGUGUUAGGGGGUUUCCGCCCCUUAGUGCUGCAGCUAACGCAUUAAGCACUCCGCCUGGGGAGUACGGUCGCAAGACUGAAACUCAAAGGAAUUGACGGGGGCCCGCACAAGCGGUGGAGCAUGUGGUUUAAUUCGAAGCAACGCGAAGAACCUUACCAGGUCUUGACAUCCUCUGACAACCCUAGAGAUAGGGCUUUCCCUUCGGGGACAGAGUGACAGGUGGUGCAUGGUUGUCGUCAGCUCGUGUCGUGAGAUGUUGGGUUAAGUCCCGCAACGAGCGCAACCCUUGAUCUUAGUUGCCAGCAUUCAGUUGGGCACUCUAAGGUGACUGCCGGUGACAAACCGGAGGAAGGUGGGGAUGACGUCAAAUCAUCAUGCCCCUUAUGACCUGGGCUACACACGUGCUACAAUGGACAGAACAAAGGGCUGCAAGACCGCAAGGUUUAGCCAAUCCCAUAAAUCUGUUCUCAGUUCGGAUCGCAGUCUGCAACUCGACUGCGUGAAGCUGGAAUCGCUAGUAAUCGCGGAUCAGCAUGCCGCGGUGAAUACGUUCCCGGGCCUUGUACACACCGCCCGUCACACCACGAGAGUUUGCAACACCCGAAGUCGGUGAGGUAACCUUUAUGGAGCCAGCCGCCGAAGGUGGGGCAGAUGAUUGGGGUGAAGUCGACAUGACUCG
RNAcentral lists this ribosomal RNA (957 nucleotides) under Bacillus pumilus. Its description in RNAcentral is "bacterial SSU rRNA". It matches the Rfam family "Bacterial small subunit ribosomal RNA", at positions 547 to 1500 of the family's 1533-position model. The record is from RNAcentral. Lineage: Bacteria; Bacillati; Bacillota; Bacilli; Caryophanales; Bacillaceae.